Candidatus Curtissbacteria bacterium is the source of this 85-nucleotide non-coding RNA. NCBI's taxonomy places the organism in Bacteria, Candidatus Curtissiibacteriota. The record is from Rfam.
GCCGGGGUGUCGAAAUUGGUAUACGAUCUCGUCUCAAAAACGAGAGAGCUUAACGCUCGUGAGGGUUCGAGUCCCUCUCCCGGCA